GGUAUCAGUUGAUUUUCUAUUAUAGUCUCAGCAUAUACAUUGAGAAACUAAGCUAUGUUAAUCUCAGUGCUCAGCUAUGGGGACUGUUGAAUAAUAUGGGACAAUAAAUAUACCUAUAAUUGAGUCUGAAUACCUUAUGAAACAAUAACCCAUAAGUUAAGGAAAGCCCUUAUCUCAGUAGUGUAAAUGUUAAUAAACAACUCUAAAAUUAUCCUCUAUAUUUUUGUGUCCUUCAUCAGUGUUAAAGUUCAUAAAUCAUUUCUCUAUAUGAGUUACUGAUGAUUUUAAAAUGAAAAAUGUUGUCCCUCUGAAAUCUUGCCAAAAAACUAUAGAUAUGGAGUCAUUCUUUGAAUCAUUAUUUUUAGACUUAUUAAUGCUUUUCCUUAUUAUGAAUCACUAUUAUUCAUCCUACUAACUCCAGUCACAAUACCAGAGGAGAGUUGUCUCCAGAUAAGCUUUCAACCUCAUUUCUUUUCUUUUUGCCUGAGCUUUAGGUUCACAAGGGAUAGUCUCAUCUUUGGGGGUUAUUCUCUUUUAUGCUGCGUUCCUUUUGCACUUUUUGAUUCCAUAUUUAUCCCUAAUCCCAUUGGGUGCUCCUAGAAAUUACUUAAUUUUUUUCCUGUUUAUAUUACUGUGUUUGGUACUGGGUUUCUCCAAAUGCUAUGAUACAGAGCAUAUCAAAUCUAAGCAACAUGUCUCGCCUGAAGAGAACUUAGUUUCAAGUUUUUGUUUUGUUUUUUUGUGUUUCAGAAGAUGCUCAGUUCAGAAUAUUUGAGGGAGAUGGGGACACAUAUUUAUAAUUUAUCAAGCAAGAACAAGUCAUAUCUCUUAAUUAAAAAAAAACUAAUGGUUUUAGAUCUAUGAUAUAAGGACUUCUGCAUACAGGUUAACAAAGAGACAUGCUGUAUAGAGUGUCUGAUUACACAAUGACAGUUUAUUUAAUUCUCUCUUGUACAGUAACUUAGGUGAUUCCCUAAUACUCUAAUAAAAAAGUAUUCCACUGUAUUUGGAGACAUGAUCACUUCACUUGUUAAUUAUCC
This 1040-nucleotide long non-coding RNA is filed under the name Heterocephalus glaber (naked mole-rat). RNAcentral describes it as "lncRNA (ENSHGLG00100047323.1)". The record is from RNAcentral. Lineage: Eukaryota; Metazoa; Chordata; Mammalia; Rodentia; Bathyergidae.